Molecule: long non-coding RNA, 982 nt
Organism: Cavia porcellus (domestic guinea pig)
Lineage: Eukaryota; Metazoa; Chordata; Mammalia; Rodentia; Caviidae
Exons: 5
Source: RefSeq, a predicted model, not a curated record
CUGUACAGAGAUUCAGGAAAUGGAAAGAUGAUAGAUACAGACAGGAACAACAUCGUGUUCCUGAGUGCCAUUCUCUAAUCCCAUAAAUCCUUUAUUACCAUCCCCCGUGUUUUUUGGGAACUGGCGGACUGCGUACCGCCCCUUUCUAGCUAGGUCAGCCCACACUAUUUUCCCAUCCAGCUCACUACUCCUUUGUAGCACAUACUACAAGUUCUCACAGUUCAAUGUCUGUCUUCCCUGCUGGCUUUCGUCCCCGAAAGGAGGUGAAACCACUUUAACACGUGCAGCCCAGAUUCUGUAGAAAUGGAUCAGCCAUGCCUAGGAAGGAGAUCCAGGCAGCCUGUGCCAUGAGAGUGUGCUGCAAAGCCUCAGGAUCCGGAACUGUCAAAGUUCUCCAAACUCAACUUUACACUCUUCCAGCAUACCAGGACCGCAGGGUGCAUGCGGGACUUGUCAGCCUGAAAAGCCUGCUGAGGUGAAAGGAAAGAGAAGCUUGUGGAAAUACAUGAUGAAGGCUUCAUGGCAGUUAGAAGACCACAGUAUGUACGACCAGUCACAGGCCAUAGAGGAACAGGAAGUCCUUUCAAGCAGUACUCAGGCUUCCUGCAGUGACACAGUCUUCUGGGAUGUGCAGGAUGGUUAUAGCGGGCAAGCACCAAUCAAGACAAGGGCGUGGAUGGAAAGCCUUCAGGGUGACUUGACACUGGAAGUGUGCAAUCCUUGCUGCAGACGAGGACUGGAGACCCUUCGCAGAUCAGAAGAGUCCUGCUCUAGGGGCACAGGAGGGAAAGCUGUGGGGCUUCCUGCUGUCACAACUACAAAGCUCCAACUUUUAAUAUGUAUCACAAUCUGCUUUGACUUUCCCUGGCAAGUGGUUGGAUAACGCAUAAAAUGUUUCUGAAAGUAAAUAAAACUAAGAAAUGAUUCUUCUGUUUUUAUUUACUUAAAAAUUAACAGUGUAACAAUUAGCAAGAAUAAAAGU